Molecule: ribosomal RNA, 457 nt
Filed under: Sceloporus utiformis
Lineage: Eukaryota; Metazoa; Chordata; Lepidosauria; Squamata; Phrynosomatidae
Description: partial 16S ribosomal RNA
Rfam family: Bacterial large subunit ribosomal RNA
Source: RNAcentral
UUUAACGGCCGCGGUAUCCUAACCGUGCAAAGGUAGCGUAAUCACUUGCCCUUUAAAUAAGGGCCUGUAUGAAUGGCUAAAUGAAGACUAACCUGUCUCCUUUGACUAAUCAGUGAAACUGAUCUACCAGUACAAAAGCUGGUAUAUAAACAUAAGACGAGAAGACCCUGUGGAGCUUUAAAUUUAAGCCAUAAACCACACCUCAAAUGUACAUCAAAUGGCCCUACAUUUUAAGUUGGGGCGACUUCGGAAUCAAACAAAACUUCCGAGCAUAAGAUAAAAUCUUACCAAGACCUACAAGUCAAAGCAAAAUAUUGACCCAGUAUAACUGACUAUCGAACCAAGUUACCCCAGGGAUAACAGCGCAAUCUUCUUCAAGAGUCCCUAUCGACAAGAAGGUUUACGACCUCGAUGUUGGAUCAGGACACCCAAAUGGUGCAGCCGCUAUUAAAGGUUC